UUCCGAGUAAGAACCAUUAGAAGGUUGCAAAAAUCAUCCUUAAGUAUUUAAAAAAUACUAAAGAUCAGUGGCUUGUUUAUAAAAAAUCUGACAUGAAACUCAUAUGAUAUACUGAUUACAGUUUCAGUCAGAUUGUGAUGAUAGCAAGAGCGUAUCGGGAUAUAUUUUUACCCUAAAUAGUAGAGCUGUCUGCUGAAAAAAUUUCAAGCCGCACACC
This 217-nucleotide long non-coding RNA is filed under the name Elaeis guineensis (African oil palm). Its description in RNAcentral is "long non-coding RNA (EGUI_LNC039174)". The record is from RNAcentral. Lineage: Eukaryota; Viridiplantae; Streptophyta; Magnoliopsida; Arecales; Arecaceae.